ACCUGGCUGGCUCAGUGGGUAGAGCAUGCGAUUCUUGAUCUCAGGGUUGUGAGUUCAAGCCCCACGCUGGGCC
This 73-nucleotide transfer RNA is filed under the name Felis catus (domestic cat). It matches the Rfam family "tRNA". From Rfam's summary of the family: Transfer RNA (tRNA) molecules are approximately 80 nucleotides in length. Their secondary structure includes four short double-helical elements and three loops (D, anti-codon, and T loops). RNAcentral also lists the same sequence under 3 other names. Lineage: Eukaryota; Metazoa; Chordata; Mammalia; Carnivora; Felidae. The record is from Rfam by way of RNAcentral.